GGGCUAGAAUACGAAAGCUCGAUAAACACGAGUCAGCGGAAGCAACAAAUAUCUGAGUACAAACAUAAAACAUGGGGUGCCUUAGAGAAGGCUAGCACAAAAGAUACAACGAUCGAACGAGGCGAGGCCUCCUGCCUGGGAACCUCCUAACUACUCCUGAUCAUCAGCGGCCUCCACGUAGUAGUAGGCACCGUCGGGGUAGCAGUCGUCGGCGGCGAGGACCUCCAUCUCCUGGGCUCCAUCAUCUGGUCGCAGCAAACGGAUCAAGGGGACAAGGCGGUAGCAAAGCAGCAGUGAGUACUCAUCCAAAGUACUCGCAAGUCUUACAUCAGAACUAUUCUAAUUAUGCAUCAGUAUCAAAGAAGGGGGUUUAUAUGUGGACUGACUGCAGCAAUGCGAGAAUAGAGAGAGAAGGCCUAGUUCUAUCGAAGACUAGCAUCCUCAGGGUCUUGCAGCAAUAGACGAGAGUAGAACAGGGGUAAAACAUAAAUAGUCAUAUUGUUGCAGCAAUAUUAAAGUGAGGUCACGCCUAAAGAUCCUCCCUCGACUCCCUGCGAGGAAGCAAUCCCGAGGCAAACUAAUUCCAGUUAAGUAACAAUUGUAGUUGUAAAAGAUCGGGGCACAACUCCAAGUCGUCCUGUAACCGUGGACACGGCUAUCCGAAUAGUUAAUUUUCAUCCCUGCAGGGGUGCACCACAUGUCCCGUCACGCUCGAUAACACUCUGGCCGGACAUACUUUUCUGGGUCCUGCCCGGCCUCGGAAUAUCGACACGUCGCAGCCCCACCUAAGACUAAUCAGAGAGGCCAGCCCGCCGGUCUAAAAUCCUAAGCACAAAGGGUUCGUGGGCCCAGUUCCCCUUCACGCUCCUGCACGUGGCGUGGGCGGCCGACGUCAGUCCUAGCAUCCCUUAAUCACAAGCGCGAUGCAUCUCGGGACCACUCGGGCGCGCACCACUACAUUGCUGGCAUCUGAAAAGCUUCGGCUGAUACCGCGACGCCGAGUACCCAUAAUUCUUCCCGCGUAGCCGGUUAGUGCGAAAAGGUCUCCGACCAACCCAGAUCAAAUACCCAAAUCCAUUAGCAUUUUAAUUAGGCCAGCAACACAGUCUCACGGGAAUCCACCCGUCUUACAACUAAUCACCGAAGAUCCCAGUAACAUGGUCGAGUAACUGUGUGGUUGUAACAUCGGGGGAAUCCGAGGUAUCACCCUCGUUGGAUUCCGAACGAUGUACCCGUCAAGGUGGGCUUAGAGGAAUCACCAUCGGGGGUCCCACACUCGCGGGGUGGCACGACAGAGACGUCAUCGGGAAUGGUGAAAGAGGAAUCACCCUCGAUAACCACGACCAACUAGCUAUACUACAGAGAUAUCAUCAGGAGUACUUAGCGAGGUGUCACCCUCGGUACCCGAUAGUAUCUCUGUAGCGUCGUACAACGAAGGGGUGAAUGUGCUGUGUCGGGUCUGGCUCGUCGAUCAGAGAUCGAGAUUAGAAAACAAGCGGGGCAACUGAACUACGGGGUCAGAGGGGAUGACUGCUCCACCUAUACUAAGCAUAUUUAAAGUACAUGACUGAAAGUAGCAGUUCAUCAAAAAUAGGCUAUGCAUCAGAUAUAGGAGCUAACUACAACAGUAGCAAAAUACUAAUGCAAGCAGUAGAAAGAAAGACAUAGGCGAUACAGGAAUGAUCAAGGGGAAUUUGCUUGCCUUGCUGCUCUGCGGCAAAGGACUGAUCGGCAGGGUCGUAGAUGUACCCGGCAGCAGCGUCAGUCUCGGGGUCU
This 1776-nucleotide long non-coding RNA is filed under the name Hordeum vulgare. RNAcentral describes it as "long non-coding RNA (HVUL_LNC012555)". Lineage: Eukaryota; Viridiplantae; Streptophyta; Magnoliopsida; Poales; Poaceae. The record is from RNAcentral.